Molecule: unclassified non-coding RNA, 283 nt
Filed under: Leotiomycetes sp.
Lineage: Eukaryota; Fungi; Ascomycota; Leotiomycetes
Description: partial contains 5.8S ribosomal RNA, internal transcribed spacer 2, and large subunit ribosomal RNA
Rfam family: 5.8S ribosomal RNA (bases 1-71)
Source: RNAcentral
GUGAGUCAUCGAAUCUUUGAACGCACAUUGCACCCUCUGGUAUUCUGGGGGGUAUGCCUGUUCGAGCGUCAUUACAACCCUCAAGCCUUGCUUGGUAUUGGGCGUCACCAACGUAGCGUGGUGCUCCCUAAAAUCAGUGGCGGUGCCAUCUGGCCUCAAGCGCAGUAUACUUCUCGCUUUGGAGGUUAGGGUGUGCGCCUGCCAGCAAUCACCAAUUUCAAAAGGUUGACCUCGGAUCAGGUAGGGAUACCCGCUGAACUUAAGCAUAUCAAUAAGCGGAGGA